AUUGAACGCUGGCGGCGUGCUUAACACAUGCAAGUCGAGCGGUAACAGGCGUAGCAAUACGUGCUGACGAGCGGCGAACGGGUGAGUAAUGCUUCGGAAUCUGCCUAGUAGUGGGGAAUAACCAGUCGAAAGACUGGCUAAUGCCGCAUACGACCUUAUUUCGUAUUGGAAUUUGGUGAAAGCGGGGGAUCGCAAGACCUCGCGCUAAUAGAUGAGCCGAAGUCGGAUUAGCUAGUUGGUGAGGUAACGGCUCACCAAGGCGACAAUCCGUAGCUGGUCUGAGAGGACGACCAGCCACACUGGGACUGAGACACGGCCCAGACUCCUACGGGAGGCAGCAGUGGGGAAUAUUGGACAAUGGGGCAACCCUGAUCCAGCGACGCCGCGUGUGUGAAGAAGGCCUGCGGGUU
Molecule: ribosomal RNA, 410 nt
Filed under: uncultured bacterium
Lineage: Bacteria
Description: bacterial SSU rRNA
Rfam family: Bacterial small subunit ribosomal RNA
Source: RNAcentral